Polypterus senegalus (gray bichir) is the source of this 1722-nucleotide long non-coding RNA. RefSeq lists it as uncharacterized. Lineage: Eukaryota; Metazoa; Chordata; Cladistia; Polypteriformes; Polypteridae. The transcript is spliced from 3 exons. The record is from RefSeq and is a predicted model, not a curated record.
CUCGGUUCGUCCUCGCUCUUCUUUUUUUUUACAAUCGCUCUUCUCGGCAGCCUCCUGCCUUCGCACCAGAGUUUGCUCAGGAAUCCAGGGCUUCAUGUCAGAUCUUAUCCCAGCUCUGAUUAAUAGCAAGAAGGUAAAUGUAGGGGCAAAAAGAGUCGUUUAGGAUGAAAACGAUAAUGAUAAUGGAUGGGAGUGGUAAUAGAAUUAGACCAAGAAGGCACAUUUUUUGCAGCUGUUGAUCCGGUGCUUGGUGCUGCACUCUUCUUCUUCUUCUUCUCAAGAAGCCCGUUUCUCGAACCAUCUCAAGUUGAACAAGCUGCUUGAUCCUAAUCAUUUAUGAUUCAAGAAGGGCCAUUCUAGCACAAUGGCACUACUCACAGUUGUCAACACGUUAUGGCAGGUUAGAGCUACCAACAUGUCAUCAGUGCUCAUCCAACUGGAUCUUUCCUCUGCUUUUAAUAUGUUCAGCCACCAGAUCCUCCUUGGCAUCAUUGAGACUGCCCUCAGAUGGCUUGAGUUAUACCUCUUAGGCAGAUCAUACCAUGUGUCCUGACAUGGCGAGAUGUCAAGGGGGCACCAGGGAAGCAUGGUGGUGUCCAAAGGAUCAAUGGUGGACCCUCUUCUCUUCUCUCUAUAUAAUUCCUCACAGGACUUUAUCUUCCAGUUCCAUGAUUUUUCUAAUCAGUGCUAUGCUGAUGAAAUGCAGCUUUAUCUCUCAUUUCCUCCAGAGGACCACAUGAUAUCAGCUAAAAUCUCUGCAUGUCUCUCUGAUAUUGCAACCUGGACGAAAGCACACCAUCUCUGGCUCUACCUAGCAAAGACUGACCUUUUUAUUAUCCCAGCUCAUCCAUCUGUUUGGUAUUCCAUCUACGUUCAUCUUGGCUCAUUAUCACUAAAUCCUGCCAAGAUGGUAUGCCAACCUGGGUUGGUAAUGACCAGCUGUCCUUCAGGGAUGUUGUUGCUAUGAUCCCCCCAGUCUUGCAGAUUCAGAUAUAAAUACUGUAUAUAUAUAUAUAUGGAGACACUUCUAAGGUCUUGUACCACUUCUUGACCACUUAGGUCUCCUGUUGAACAGCACCUGGUGAUGUCACCUCUGCAUGUUAUCAGAUCUCAGUCCAGACUCUCUUCAUAUGUAGUUGCUGGCUGGUAGAAUGAGUUGCCCACCUUCAUUUGAAAUUCCGACUCCCUUGAUGUGUUUAAGAAUUUAAAGACUUUAUUGUUUGGUUUAAUUCUAUCUAACUGAUUUUAAUUAUUAGAUUUUGUAACCUAUGAAUUGUAACAAGCUUGCAUUUUGUUCUGAGCUCUUCACUUCUGUUGGUCAAUUUUGUCACAUUGUCUUGUAAUACUUUGCUUAGUUUGCUCUGUUAUGUUGACUUCUUCUGUAAGUCACUUUGGAUUAAUGUGUCUGCUGUGGAAACAAAUACAAAUGCAUUUUUUUCAUCUGUUCAAGUGUUUACCAGGGAUGAUUGUAGAGGAAAUCCUGCGGCUGGUAGAUUUCACUUACUUUUCAUUAAUUUCUUCUUGUAAGAAUCAAGGCAACAACAGUCUGAGCAGAUCAAAUGAGGCUUCUCUAACCCUAGCAUCAGAUUCAGCUCUUCCCAGAAAAUGUCUAGAUAGUUCCAAGUCAGAGGAGUGGUCUUUAUUUAGAUUUGAGGGUGCUGAAAAAGUAACAGAAUUACUUUAUCAUAUCCAGUUUUUGAGAGAGAAUGUUUUAAAAUGAAA